CAGGCGAUAUUUAAUAUCCAAAUAUCAGAGUCUGAUCCACUCAAUGAAAAAUAAAUCUGCAUCAUAUACACAUCUUUUGAUGCUACACUUGCAUCCUUCUUCAAUCUUGCAAGAUAAUUCUUGCAAUUAUACUUUCAAUAUCCAAAUUUGCCAUAAAAUGAACAGAUGAUAUCCAUAUAGAUAUCAUUGCCUUCUCAUUAUUACUGACCAAUCCAAGGUCAGAAAUAUCUAGAGCAUUAGAGUUCUUCAUCGAUACGAACCUAACUU
RNAcentral lists this long non-coding RNA (267 nucleotides) under Elaeis guineensis (African oil palm). RNAcentral's name for it is "long non-coding RNA (EGUI_LNC047305)". The record is from RNAcentral. Lineage: Eukaryota; Viridiplantae; Streptophyta; Magnoliopsida; Arecales; Arecaceae.